Molecule: ribosomal RNA, 700 nt
Filed under: uncultured beta proteobacterium
Lineage: Bacteria; Pseudomonadati; Pseudomonadota; Betaproteobacteria
Description: bacterial SSU rRNA
Rfam family: Bacterial small subunit ribosomal RNA
Source: RNAcentral
AGUGGCGAACGGGUGAGUAAUAUAUCGGAACGUAUCCAAUAAUGGGGGAUAACUAAUCGAAAGGUUGGCUAAUACCGCAUACGCCCUGAGGGUGAAAGCUGGGGAUCUUCGGACCUAGCGUUGAUGGAGCGGCCGAUAUCUGAUUAGCUAGUUGGUGAGGUAAAGGCUCACCAAGGCAUCGAUCAGUAGCUGGUCUGAGAGGACGACCAGCCACACUGGAACUGAGACACGGUCCAGACUCCUACGGGAGGCAGCAGUGGGGAAUUUUGGACAAUGGGCGCAAGCCUGAUCCAGCCAUUCCGCGUGAGUGAAGAAGGCCUUCGGGUUGUAAAGCUCUUUCGCAAGGGAAGAAACGAUUUAGGUAAAUAAUCUAAGUUAAUGACGGUACCUUGAUAAGAAGCACCGGCUAACUACGUGCCAGCAGCCGCGGUAAUACGUAGGGUGCGAGCGUUAAUCGGAAUUACUGGGCGUAAAGCGUGCGCAGGCUGUUUUGUAAGUCAGAUGUGAAAUCCCUGGGCUCAACCUAGGAACUGCGUUUGAAACUACAAGACUAGAAUAUGUCAGAGGGGGGUAGAAUUCCACGUGUAGCAGUGAAAUGCGUAGAGAUGUGGAGGAAUAUCAAUGGCGAAGGCAGCCCCCUGGGAUAAUAUUGACGCUCAUGCACGAAAGCGUGGGGAGCAAACAGGAUUAGAUACCCUGG